GACGAACGCUGGCGGCGUGCUUAACACAUGCAAGUCGAACUGAAAGGCCCUUCGGGGUACUCGAGUGGCGAACGGGUGAGUAACACGUGGGUGAUCUGCCCUGCACUUUGGGAUAAGCCUGGGAAACUGGGUCUAAUACCGAAUAGGACCGCGCGCUUCAUGGUGUGUGGUGGAAAGCUUUUGCGGUGUGGGAUGGGCCCGCGGCCUAUCAGCUUGUUGGUGGGGUAAUGGCCUACCAAGGCGACGACGGGUAGCCGGCCUGAGAGGGUGACCGGCCACACUGGGACUGAGAUACGGCCCAGACUCCUACGGGAGGCAGCAGUGGGGAAUAUUGCACAAUGGGCGCAAGCCUGAUGCAGCGACGCCGCGUGAGGGAUGACGGCCUUCGGGUUGUAAACCUCUUUCACCAGGGACGAAGCGCAAGUGACGGUACCUGGAGAAGAAGCACCGGCCAACUACGUG
RNAcentral lists this ribosomal RNA (462 nucleotides) under uncultured bacterium. Its description in RNAcentral is "partial 16S ribosomal RNA". It matches the Rfam family "Bacterial small subunit ribosomal RNA", at positions 28 to 507 of the family's 1533-position model. The record is from RNAcentral.